This 614-nucleotide long non-coding RNA is filed under the name Lathyrus oleraceus (garden pea). RNAcentral's name for it is "Pisum sativum (pea) long non-coding RNA (PSAT_LNC016536)". The record is from RNAcentral. Lineage: Eukaryota; Viridiplantae; Streptophyta; Magnoliopsida; Fabales; Fabaceae.
UGAAAACCACAAAUUGUGAGGAAACCUCCAUUGUACACUUAAAUGCUGGAUUCUAAUAAGUUUUAUUGAUUCAUGUGAUUCAUGCUUUGUCUUUUAUUAUUGUGAAAUUGUGGAAGCAAUUAGAAAUGAUCAAGGCACUUGUUUUCUUUUGAGCACAACUACAUCCAAAAUCAACUUACCUAUGAGCAGAGAGAGUAUUUGUUAACCCCUUUGAGCUUAAACAGUUGAAUCUCGGCUUGAAAUAAAGCGAGAUCUCAAAAAUCUUUUUUUUUUACAACCCGGAAAAUCUUGAUUUUUUGUUCUUUUGCCGUAAAAAGUUAAGAGCAUUCACUUAGGGUGUGGAAGAAAUAAGUUGGGGAGAACGAAAAAGAAUUGGUAAGUACCACAACUCUUGUAAAAGAAAAGAAAAAACCGAGCAAGCAUUAAAAAAUGUAUGUAUAGAAAAUAUAGAAAAGAAACAUUUGUUUUGUAUAUUUGAUGUGAAAGAAAAGAACAAAAAUAGAAAGAAUGAAAAUGAAUGCUUGCUUGGAAGAAAAAUAGUGAAAAAUAAAAAUUGAGUUGUGGAAUAUGUGUUGUGAAGGUUUCAAAUAAGAAACAAAUGAAACAAAGUCGAG